CUGAGACACGGCCCAGACUCCUACGGGAGGCAGCAGUGAGGAAUUUUCCGCAAUGGGCGAAAGCCUGACGGAGCAAUACCGCGUGGGUGAAGACGGCCUGUGGGUUGUAAAGCCCUUUUCUCAGAGAAGAACAAAUGACGGUACCUGAGGAAUAAGCACCGGCUAACCCUGUGCCAGCAGCCGCGGUAAUACAGGGGGUGCAAGCGUUAUCCGGAAUGAUUGGGCGUAAAGCGUCUGUAGGUGGUCUAAAAAGUCUACUGUCAAAUACCAAGGCUUAACCUUGGGCAGGCAUUAGAGUACUUUUAGACUUGAGUGUGGUAGAGGUAGAGGGAAUCCCUAGCGUAACAGUGAAAUGUGUAGAUUUUAGGGAGAACACCAGCGGCGAAGGCGCUCUACUGGGCCAAGACUGACACUGAGAGACGAAAGCUAAGGUAGCGAAAAGGAUUAGAUACCCUUGUAGUCUUAGCCGUAAACGAUGGAAACUAAGUGCUGCCGAAUGCAGUGCUGUAGCUAACGCGUUAAGUUUCCCGCCUGGGGAGUAUGCCCGCAAGGGUGAAACUCAAAGGAAUUGACGGGGGCCCGCACAAGCAGUGGAUUAUGUGGUUUAAUUCGAUGCAACGCGAAGAACCUUACCAAGGUUUGACAUACUCAGAAUUUUCCAGAAAUGGAUUAGUGCCAGCAAUGGAACUGAGAUACAGGUGGUGCAUGGCUGUCGUCAGCUCGUGCGUUGACGUGUAUGGUUAAGUCCUGCAACGAGCGCAACCCUC
This 767-nucleotide ribosomal RNA is filed under the name uncultured Symbiodinium. RNAcentral's name for it is "partial Bacterial small subunit ribosomal RNA". It matches the Rfam family "Bacterial small subunit ribosomal RNA", at positions 319 to 1106 of the family's 1533-position model. The record is from RNAcentral. Lineage: Eukaryota; Dinophyceae; Suessiales; Symbiodiniaceae.